GAUGAAGAACGUAGCGAAAUGCGAUAAGUAAUGUGAAUUGCAGAAUUCAGUGAAUCAUCGAAUCUUUGAACGCAUCUUGCGCUCCUUGGUAUUCUGAGGAGCAUGCCUGUUUGAGUGUCAUUAAAUUCUCAACUACACUGACUUUGAAUUGGUGUGGCUUGGAUUUGGGGGGAAAAUUGUUGUGGGCUUUCUGUAUAGUCUGCUCCCCUGAAAUUGAUUAGCGGUACCUUUGUGGAACUGUCUACAGGUGUGAUAAUUAUCUACAUCUUAGACAUCUGCUGGAAUGCUGCUUUCUAAACCUUACUUGUAUUGACAAUCUUGACCUCAAAUCAGGUAGGACUACCCGCUGAACUUAAGCAUAUCAAUAAGCGGAGGA
This 376-nucleotide unclassified non-coding RNA is filed under the name soil metagenome. RNAcentral describes it as "partial contains 5.8S ribosomal RNA, internal transcribed spacer 2, and large subunit ribosomal RNA". The stretch from base 1 to 120 matches the Rfam family "5.8S ribosomal RNA", at positions 35 to 154 of the family's 154-position model. The record is from RNAcentral.